GCAUACGACGAUGCAAAAGAGGGCAAAUGACCUAGAAGGACAGUUGAGCGAUUUUGCCUUGAGCUUUUCGUCUUCUCCAGGUGGUGUGGUUUCAGUGUGGCUGUUUCGGUUGGUGUGGUGCGAAGGCUAUAGUGGUGAAGCGAAUGAGACAGAUUUACAGUGAACAUUACCGUCCUGUUUGUUAGGUGGACUGAUUGAAGUUUUAUGACGUGUAGUAUGACAGAAUGCGCAUGACUUAUAGGUUCCUAUGUGCCAUAUUGAAGGAACUGCAUGAGGGAUGCCGUGGGGCCAUCAGAGAUUUGAAUGGCGGCCGAUAUGACAACAUCGUGCGCUGGUGCGGCAAGCGUCUGGUCCUGCUGCACCAAGCACGUCAGAGGAUAUUGCUGUCCAGGAGGAGCCUGCAGGACUACCUCCUUCACUAUCCAUGCCGAUGCGUGCCACUAUAUAGAGCCGAGCUAGAGCCUGCAGGCACAAUCACUGCGACUAUUGCGGAUAUCUCAAGUAGUCAGACGGACAUGGGCGAGUUCAUCCCGUCACUCACUGACUUGUCGAUCGACCCUCCUGUAGCUGUGACAACCGAGAUUUCUGGAGAAAUCAGUGGCCUUCUCUGUUGCAACAAAGAUCAGCGACGUGAUGCUGUGCUUGACAGUGCAUCCACUAUACCCGUAGGGGUUGUGUCUGUUGCAAUGAAGGGUAACCCGAAGCAACACACGAAUACUGCUCGGAGGAAAAGGUCGUAGAAGGCCGAGAAAGCGUAGAGUCGUCAAGCGGAUGUCGCCAGACGUCUUUGUCUAAUACUUCAAUACACCGCCUGCCGUUGUAAUAAUUAA
Ornithodoros turicata is the source of this 830-nucleotide long non-coding RNA. RefSeq lists it as uncharacterized. The transcript has 2 exons. The record is from RefSeq and is a predicted model, not a curated record. NCBI's taxonomy places the organism in Eukaryota, Metazoa, Arthropoda, Arachnida, Ixodida, Argasidae.